Molecule: long non-coding RNA, 366 nt
Filed under: Ananas comosus (pineapple)
Lineage: Eukaryota; Viridiplantae; Streptophyta; Magnoliopsida; Poales; Bromeliaceae
Description: long non-coding RNA (ACOM_LNC025901)
Source: RNAcentral
CCGGCACUCCGGAGAUAGCCAUCGUGACAUAUGCUCACUCGUGCGGGAUUGGGCGCCGAAAUGGGAUACCGUGGGGGAGGCUCAUUCCUAGAGUGGGGAUGUUGACUACCACGGGGCCAUUAGGCACGGCGCAAGCCGGACUACCCACGGGUAGGUCCUACAGGAUUGAAUCAUUGAUGACUUCGUAUACCGACUGGACAUUGACUAGAAUAGUAAACAAGACAUUUUACUAUUUAGCUUGUGGACAUCAUGCUAGUGAUACUUUGGUACAUUCAUGUUAGAAUAGUCUUUUAUUACUUAUGCAAAUUCAUGCUAAGUAGAGAUAUCAUGUUGUAGUAAGUUUACAUGUUUACUUACAUAUCGAUU